RNAcentral lists this transfer RNA (67 nucleotides) under Halorubrum lipolyticum. It matches the Rfam family "tRNA". From Rfam's summary of the family: Transfer RNA (tRNA) molecules are approximately 80 nucleotides in length. Their secondary structure includes four short double-helical elements and three loops (D, anti-codon, and T loops). Further hydrogen bonds mediate the characteristic L-shaped molecular structure. tRNAs have two regions of fundamental functional importance: the anti-codon, which is responsible for specific mRNA codon recognition, and the 3' end, to which the tRNAs corresponding amino acid is attached (by aminoacyl-tRNA synthetases). tRNAs cope with the degeneracy of the genetic code in two manners: having more than one tRNA (with a specific anti-codon) for a particular amino acid; and 'wobble' base-pairing, i.e. permitting non-standard base-pairing at the 3rd anti-codon position. Lineage: Archaea; Methanobacteriati; Methanobacteriota; Halobacteria; Halobacteriales; Haloferacaceae. RNAcentral also lists the same sequence under 1 other name. The record is from RNAcentral.
CUCAUAGCUCAGCGGUAGAGUGCCUCCCUUGCAAGGAGGAUGCCCUGGGUUCGAAUCCCAGUGAGUC